This 68-nucleotide transfer RNA is filed under the name Telmatobufo australis. Its description in RNAcentral is "tRNA-His". It matches the Rfam family "tRNA". Rfam says of the family: Transfer RNA (tRNA) molecules are approximately 80 nucleotides in length. Their secondary structure includes four short double-helical elements and three loops (D, anti-codon, and T loops). The record is from RNAcentral. Lineage: Eukaryota; Metazoa; Chordata; Amphibia; Anura; Calyptocephalellidae.
GUGAAUAUAGUUUAUAAAAAUUCUAGUUUGUGAUUCUAGAGAAGGGGGCUAACACCCCCCUAUUCACC